Molecule: ribosomal RNA, 400 nt
Filed under: uncultured Streptococcus sp.
Lineage: Bacteria; Bacillati; Bacillota; Bacilli; Lactobacillales; Streptococcaceae
Description: bacterial SSU rRNA
Rfam family: Bacterial small subunit ribosomal RNA
Source: RNAcentral
CUUGACAUCCCGAUGCUAUUUCUAGAGAUAGAAAGUUACUUCGGUACAUCGGUGACAGGUGGUGCAUGGUUGUCGUCAGCUCGUGUCGUGAGAUGUUGGGUUAAGUCCCGCAACGAGCGCAACCCCUAUUGUUAGUUGCCAUCAUUCAGUUGGGCACUCUAGCGAGACUGCCGGUAAUAAACCGGAGGAAGGUGGGAUGACGUCAAAUCAUCAUGCCCCUUAUGACCUGGGCUACACACGUGCUACAAUGGUUGGUACAACGAGUUGCGAGUCGGUGACGGCGAGCUAAUCUCUUAAAGCCAAUCUCAGUUCGGAUUGUAGGCUGCAACUCGCCUACAUGAAGUCGGAAUCGCUAGUAAUCGCGGAUCAGCACGCCGCGGUGAAUACGUUCCCGGGCCUU